CGACUUGGAGGUUGUGCCCUUGAGGCGUGGCUUCCGGAGCUAACGCGUCAAGUCGACCGCCUGGGGAGUACGGCCGCAAGGUUAAAACUCAAAUGAAUUGACGGGGGCCCGCACAAGCGGUGGAGCAUGUGGUUUAAUUCGAUGCAACGCGAAGAACCUUACCUGGCCUUGACAUCCAGAGAACUUAGCAGAGAUGCUUUGGUGCCUUCGGGAACUCUGAGACAGGUGCUGCAUGGCUGUCGUCAGCUCGUGUUGUGAAAUGUUGGGUUAAGUCCCGCAACGAGCACAACCCUUAUCCUUUGUUGCCAGCGGUCCGGCCGGGAACUCAAAGGAGACUGCCAGUGAUAAACUGGAGGAAGGUGGGGAUGACGUCAAGUCAUCAUGGCCCUUACGAGUAGGGCUACACACGUGCUACAAUGGCGCAUACAAAGAGAAGCGACCUCGCGAGAGCAAGCGGACCUCAUAAAGUGCGUCGUAGUCCGGAUUGGAGUCUGCAACUCGACUCCAUGAAGUCGGAAUCGCUAGUAAUCGUAGAUCAGAGUGCUACGGUGAAUACGUUCCCGGGCCUUGUACACACCGCCCGUCACACCAUGGGAGUGGGUUGCAAUAGAAGUGUAUAGCUUCGGUUAGUGAGGGCGCAAUCCACGUCAUAACUGCUGACUGGAGUGAAGUCGUAACAAGGUAAC
This 686-nucleotide ribosomal RNA is filed under the name uncultured bacterium. RNAcentral's name for it is "bacterial SSU rRNA". It matches the Rfam family "Bacterial small subunit ribosomal RNA", at positions 813 to 1500 of the family's 1533-position model. The record is from RNAcentral.